CAAAGGUUCUUAACGGGAUCCUCAUCCACUGAGACUUCAAGCAACAUUAGGCCUUCUGGAUAACACAAUCCAAAUGGCAUGGCAGUUUGCUUGGCAGCUUGGAUCUAUUGCAGAACAGUCACUUCUUCUGGACUCUUCAAAAUUGGUACCUUUUCUGUUCACUUAGUAGAUGGCUUGGAGUAGCAGGCCCAGACGUGGCACAUGUUGUAAUCCAAGGUGGCCCAAUAGCGCUUGUACAUCUUCCUUUGUGGUAGAAGGAGUAACUCCUUCUUUACCCUAGAAAGAUUAUCUUGGCAUGCCCUCCAACACUGGACCCUUAGAAAUCUUACCAUGGUGGCAGCCCCCUGCAUUUUUGUGGGAUUAUAGUUCACCCUCAGGCUCACAGUGACUUGCCAAUAGGUCUUGAAUAUUUUCUCUUUCCUGUACAUUAGGUUCAACCAGCAUUGUAUCAUCAAAGGGAUGAAUCAACAAGACACGUGGAAGAAAAAGACAAUCUAGCAGCCUGUAGCCUGGACUAUGAUAUUGGGCUGAAGAGUUGACAGACCCCUGAGGUUGGACAGUGAAGGUGUAUUCCUGGCCUUGCCAACAGAAAGCAAACUGCUAUGAUGGUAUUUACUAAUAAGUAUAGUAGAGGGGGAUAAAAAACAUUUGCUGCUAAAUAGCUUCACACCAGGUGACAAGAGAAGUGUUGCUUUGUUCCGGCAACAAAACUCCAUCUAAAAGCUCAGCUACAAACAGAGUUACUACCUGAUUAAAUUUAUGAUCAUCCACUGUCAUUAUGUAAGAUUAAUAUACCUUCUGCGCAGGCCAAAUAAGUAAUUGAAUGGAGGCAGAAUCACCACUGCUCUAUCUUUCCAGGCCUUGAGGCUGACACUAAUAUCUGCAAACCCUCCAAAAAUGCAGUAUUGCUUUUGAUUUAGUAUCUUUGUAGAUAGAGAUAGUUUUACUGACUUCCAUAUGGUCUUUAUGCCAUAAUAGCUCUCACUUGAAGGGUCAAGGAACCAGUGUGGGAAUUCUGAAAAUUUCUGGUGUCUCUAUUCCAGUUAUGUGUUCCACAUUUGAAGAAAGAACGACCCUUUGGAUUUGGGCCCAGUGGGCCCACUGUGAGAUAGA
RNAcentral lists this long non-coding RNA (1113 nucleotides) under Lynx pardinus (Iberian lynx). Lineage: Eukaryota; Metazoa; Chordata; Mammalia; Carnivora; Felidae. The record is from RNAcentral.